RNAcentral lists this ribosomal RNA (963 nucleotides) under Escherichia coli. RNAcentral describes it as "partial 23S ribosomal RNA". It matches the Rfam family "Bacterial large subunit ribosomal RNA", at positions 228 to 1230 of the family's 2925-position model. The record is from RNAcentral. Lineage: Bacteria; Pseudomonadati; Pseudomonadota; Gammaproteobacteria; Enterobacterales; Enterobacteriaceae.
ACCGAGAUUCCCCCAGUAGCGGCGAGCGAACGGGGAGCAGCCCAGAGCCUGAAUCAGUGUGUGUGUUAGUGGAAGCGUCUGGAAAGGCGCGCGAUACAGGGUGACAGCCCCGUACACAAAAAUGCACAUACUGUGAGCUCGAUGAGUAGGGCGGGACACGUGGUAUCCUGUCUGAAUAUGGGGGGACCAUCCUCCAAGGCUAAAUACUCCUGACUGACCGAUAGUGAACCAGUACCGUGAGGGAAAGGCGAAAAGAACCCCGGCGAGGGGAGUGAAAAAGAACCUGAAACCGUGUACGUACAAGCAGUGGGAGCACGCUUAGGCGUGUGACUGCGUACCUUUUGUAUAAUGGGUCAGCGACUUAUAUUCUGUAGCAAGGUUAACCGAAUAGGGGAGCCGAAGGGAAACCGAGUCUUAACUGGGCGUUAAGUUGCAGGGUAUAGACCCGAAACCCGGUGAUCUAGCCAUGGGCAGGUUGAAGGUUGGGUAACACUAACUGGAGGACCGAACCGACUAAUGUUGAAAAAUUAGCGGAUGACUUGUGGCUGGGGGUGAAAGGCCAAUCAAACCGGGAGAUAGCUGGUUCUCCCCGAAAGCUAUUUAGGUAGCGCCUCGUGAAUUCAUCUCCGGGGGUAGAGCACUGUUUCGGCAAGGGGGUCAUCCCGACUUACCAACCCGAUGCAAACUGCGAAUACCGGAGAAUGUUAUCACGGGAGACACACGGCGGGUGCUAACGUCCGUCGUGAAGAGGGAAACAACCCAGACCGCCAGCUAAGGUCCCAAAGUCAUGGUUAAGUGGGAAACGAUGUGGGAAGGCCCAGACAGCCAGGAUGUUGGCUUAGAAGCAGCCAUCAUUUAAAGAAAGCGUAAUAGCUCACUGGUCGAGUCGGCCUGCGCGGAAGAUGUAACGGGGCUAAACCAUGCACCGAAGCUGCGGCAGCGACGCUGAUGCGUUGUUGGGUA